CAUAAAAAUCGGCCAUUCUUUUCUCAAGGCAGGAAGCAGAAAAUAAUGCACACAAUUUUUUCAAAACACAACGUUCCGAUUUCACGAAAAUUGGAUCUUCAAUUCGAUUCAUAAAACUUUUUACCACUGCAUGCUAAAAAUAUAUCCAUGACCACCGCAUGCUUCUCUACAAUCUUGAAUAGCAUCACGAACUAACCACGAGGAAAAUGGUUUUCCCGCUGAUGAGAGUGCAUGUAAUUCCAUUCCCUCGGCAACAACAGUUUUUGGAUCUUUUGAUUUUUUUUCUUCAACUUUUUUGAAAAGAUCAUAACUAAAUACAGUGAGUGCAUAUAGUGACGCUAAAUGUGGAAACAAUCGUCCUUGCUAUUUACCUAAUACACCGGACCAACAUUUGGCGGCUUGAAAAUUUGGUGUGUGAAGAAUAAAAUUUUCUGUUUCAACAUCAUAAGUUGCUGUAGUUUGAAGACCCUUCAAAUUUGUUCCAUGUGAUAUUUCCGUGAAACUUAAACAUCCACGAAACUGAAAAAUUUCAUUUAAUUACAAACAAAAUAUACUUCGCCGUCAGACAUUCCAAGCGGAGAAUUGAGAAUAAAAUCCGGAGGUGCAAGAACAUCGACUAAAGACACAGCUUCAUGGACCAAAGAUUUGCUAAUUUUUAUUAUUCCCUCACGAAGAAAAGUUUCCAAUU
This is a long non-coding RNA of Leptopilina boulardi, 688 nucleotides long. RefSeq lists it as uncharacterized. The record is from RefSeq and is a predicted model, not a curated record. The transcript has 4 exons. NCBI's taxonomy places the organism in Eukaryota, Metazoa, Arthropoda, Insecta, Hymenoptera, Figitidae.